RNAcentral lists this unclassified non-coding RNA (345 nucleotides) under uncultured Mortierella. Its description in RNAcentral is "sequence contains ITS2". The stretch from base 1 to 52 matches the Rfam family "5.8S ribosomal RNA", at positions 103 to 154 of the family's 154-position model. The record is from RNAcentral. Lineage: Eukaryota; Fungi; Mortierellomycota; Mortierellomycetes; Mortierellales; Mortierellaceae.
AACGCAUAUUGCGCUCUCUGGUAUUCCGGAGAGCAUGCUUGUUUGAGUAUCAGUAAACACCUCAACUUCCAUAUCUUUUUUGAAAUGGGAGUUGGAAUUGAGUGAUCCCAACGCUUUUCCUUACCGAAAAGUGGCGGGUUACUUGAAAUGCAGGUGCAGCUGGACUUUUCUCUGAGCUAUAAGCAUAUCUAUUUAGUCUGCCUAAAAAACAGAUUAUUACCUUUGCUGCAGCUAACAUAAAGGAGAUUAGUUCUUGUGCUGACUGAUGCAGGAUUCACAAAGACAGGCUUCGGCCGACUUUGUAAACUCGAUCUCAAAUCAAGUAAGACUACCCGCUGAACUUAA